Molecule: transfer RNA, 85 nt
Filed under: Acetobacter sp.
Lineage: Bacteria; Pseudomonadati; Pseudomonadota; Alphaproteobacteria; Acetobacterales; Acetobacteraceae
Also listed under: 25 other names
Description: tRNA-Leu
Rfam family: tRNA
About the family: Transfer RNA (tRNA) molecules are approximately 80 nucleotides in length. Their secondary structure includes four short double-helical elements and three loops (D, anti-codon, and T loops).
Source: RNAcentral
GCGAGAGUGGCGGAAUCGGCAGACGCGCACGUUUGAGGGGCGUGUGGGGCGACUCGUACGGGUUCAAGUCCCGUCUCUCGCACCA